Molecule: transfer RNA, 82 nt
Filed under: Candidatus Vogelbacteria bacterium RIFOXYD1_FULL_51_18
Lineage: Bacteria; Candidatus Vogeliibacteriota
Also listed under: 1 other name
Description: tRNA-Leu
Rfam family: tRNA
About the family: Transfer RNA (tRNA) molecules are approximately 80 nucleotides in length.
Source: RNAcentral
GGGUGUGUGGCGGAAUUGGUAUACGCGUACGUUUCAGAGACGUAUGGAGCAAUCCGUGAGGGUUCGAGUCCCUCCACACCCA